CUUCGUCUCCGUCGGCGGUUCUUGUCAACACUGACAAGAAGUAGUACGGCUUCCCGCCGACUGUUGAACUUGAACUCUCCAAUAUGUUUGCGGUUGCCACCGCACCGGAGUCAAAACCACCCUGCAUAUGCGCGCGCGCACACACAUGUAUGUACUCAAACCACGUAUGUAAAUGGUUGCUUUAAAUUCGAAAAACAAGGGAAUGGGAGGUACCAAAAAUGAAGUCUAUGAUAGCUAUUACAUAUGUUAUAUAUUAUAUGCAUCUGUUAGUGAAUCACCU
This 280-nucleotide long non-coding RNA is filed under the name Gossypium barbadense (sea-island cotton). RNAcentral's name for it is "long non-coding RNA (GBAR_LNC015300)". The record is from RNAcentral. Lineage: Eukaryota; Viridiplantae; Streptophyta; Magnoliopsida; Malvales; Malvaceae.